Molecule: long non-coding RNA, 531 nt
Filed under: Hordeum vulgare
Lineage: Eukaryota; Viridiplantae; Streptophyta; Magnoliopsida; Poales; Poaceae
Description: long non-coding RNA (HVUL_LNC003328)
Source: RNAcentral
GGGGAAGCAUUUUCAUCGUGGAUGCAUAUCGUGUAUGGCAUUAGAAAAGGAGGGACUUGCGCGCCCGCCUCCGCCGCCGCCACCGGCCCCUUACCACCGCCCCCACGCGCCGCAGGUUCGUAGGCGCUUUCUCGUAGGGCAGUAAACAUUCGGGGUUGUCUGGUUGUAUGUAUAUGCUUGGUUAACUGAUCGAGGUGGCGUGCGUGCGUGGCUGUUUGCAGGUCUCGGCACCGGGAGGGACGGCUCCGGUGGUGUACGGCGGCGGGAGCAAUGGUGGUGGCGUGCCGUCGCCGUGGCAGGUGAGCGGACGCGACCUCUGUCGCUGCUCCUCCCUUCUUUCAAUCCCUACCUUUUUUUGUUUUUUUCCCCUUGUUGGCUUGUGAGUUCGAUCUGUGCACCCUUUUUUGACGCAGAUUGCUUCCUGCAGUGCAAGCAGGCGAUGGCCACCGAGGUCACGUUCGUGCUGCCGUCCGCCGCGCCCAAGGCCGUGUCGUCAUCGCCUGGUGGCGCCGCCGGCGACGAGACCGGAGG